Molecule: ribosomal RNA, 468 nt
Filed under: uncultured bacterium
Lineage: Bacteria
Description: partial 16S ribosomal RNA
Rfam family: Bacterial small subunit ribosomal RNA
Source: RNAcentral
GACGAACGCUGGCGGCGUGCUUAACACAUGCAAGUCGAACGGAAAGGCCCUGCUUUUGUGGGGUGCUCGAGUGGCGAACGGGUGAGUAACACGUGAGUAACCUGCCCUUGACUUUGGGAUAACUUCAGGAAACUGGGGCUAAUACCGGAUAGGAGCUCCUGCUGCAUGGUGGGGGUUGGAAAGUUUCGGCGGUUGGGGAUGGACUCGCGGCUUAUCAGCUUGUUGGUGGGGUAGUGGCUUACCAAGGCUUUGACGGGUAGCCGGCCUGAGAGGGUGACCGGCCACAAUGGGACUGAGAUACGGACCAGACGCCUACGUGAGGCAGCAGUGGGGAAUAUUGCGCAGUGGGCGGAAGCCUGAUGCAGCAACGCCGCGUGCGGGAUGACGGCCUUCGAGUUGUGAACCGCUUUGGACGGUGACGAAGCGUGAGUGACGGUAAUGGGUAAAGAAGCACCGGCUAACUACGUG